AACGAACGCUGGCGGCAGGCCUAACACAUGCAAGUCGAGCGAGAUCUUCGGGUCUAGCGGCGGACGGGUGAGUAACGCGUGGGAAUAUGCCUCUUGGUACGGAAUAGCCUCGGGAAACUGGGAGUAAUACCGUAUGUGCCCUUUGGGGGAAAGAUUUAUCGCCAAGAGAUUAGCCCGCGUUGGAUUAGGUAGUUGGUGGGGUAAUGGCCUACCAAGCCGACGAUCCAUAGCUGGUUUAAGAGGAUGAUCAGCCACACUGGGACUGAGACACGGCCCAGACUCCUACGGGAGGCAGCAGUGGGGAAUCUUAGACAAUGGGGGCAACCCUGAUCUAGCCAUGCCGCGUGAGUGAUGAAGGCCUUAGGGUUGUAAAGCUCUUUCAGCUGGGAAGAUAAUGACGGUACCAGCAGAAGAAGCCCCGGCUAACUCCGUG
RNAcentral lists this ribosomal RNA (433 nucleotides) under uncultured bacterium. RNAcentral describes it as "partial 16S ribosomal RNA". It matches the Rfam family "Bacterial small subunit ribosomal RNA", at positions 29 to 507 of the family's 1533-position model. The record is from RNAcentral.